This is a long non-coding RNA of Aphis gossypii (cotton aphid), 951 nucleotides long. RefSeq lists it as uncharacterized. The transcript is spliced from 6 exons. The record is from RefSeq and is a predicted model, not a curated record. Lineage: Eukaryota; Metazoa; Arthropoda; Insecta; Hemiptera; Aphididae.
UGGAGGCAACUGUAUAAGUCUAGUUUUGGAUAAUAUUCCAAGUUUCAUUCCAUGAUCAAAAGUAAGGUGGACUGUAGUUUAUCGAUUCGUAUUUAGUAUUAAUAAUCCUCAUAUGGAAGGAAGCAUGUUGUAGGACGAAGAAACCCUAUGAUAAAAUUAACUAUUCAGUCAAGACUUCAACGGUGUAUCCAUUAAACCAUAGUUAAUAAGGUCAAGUCAGAAUGAAGCGAAAACCCAACAGUUAUGCUGUGUGUUGGUUCAAAAAAGAAUUUUAAAAAGUGGGUGUAGCUGAAUUGCCUAUUUAUAACGCCGUGUGUUUGUAGUUAAGUUAUUGAAGUGUACCCGUCCAAUGAAAUAAUAUAUUACAUUAGUUAGGAUGAAAUGAUUGAAAUUUGGUCCGUUACUUCAACAAGGCGUGCAAAAUAUCACUACUACCGAUUUUCAAGUGUCUGUCAUCACUAUACGCAUUUCGUGUAGCCAAAUUGAAAGUUUGUUUUUAAAAACUUAUGAAAACGUCAGAUGGUCGAAUCUACGUUUAAGAAAACUGAUUGAAUAGUAUUCUAUGCAUAAAAGUAUAAAAGUUCUGAGAAGAGUAGCGAUGAAUGUAUAUGGUUUUAUAAUGAUGUGUGAAAAAUACCCUAGAUAUUCAACUUCGAGUAUACCCUUUAAGUAAGAAGUGCAAAAUAUCUGAAGGAUUUGAAAAUAUGGCCUUACAGUAUGUUUGUUAAAAUAUCGAAAAUCAGAUUUUGGAAAACUGCAUUGUUGAAGCGAAUAAAAAGGGUUUAGUAGUUUAGUGAAAGGCGUUGAAAUGUGUGGUCAAAUGGAACGAACGAUUUACUACAACAUCGAAGUUUGUGAAAGUAUAGUUUCAAAAUUAUUGGAUGUGUGACUUUUGGUAUUAUUGACUGUUUUCACAAAGUUUCAGAGUUUAAAGAACUUUAAGAAAUUUUU